Molecule: transfer RNA, 62 nt
Filed under: Xylophagaidae sp. E23
Lineage: Eukaryota; Metazoa; Mollusca; Bivalvia; Myida; Xylophagaidae
Also listed under: 1 other name
Description: tRNA-Tyr
Source: RNAcentral
GAGGGGGUAGCUUAAUAAAAGUAGUGGAUUGUAGCUCCGAAGAUGGUGUAUGCUUCCCCUUA